GAUGAACGCUGGCGGCGUGCCUAAUACAUGCAAGUCGAGCGAAUGGAUUAAGAGCUUGCUCUUAUGAAGUUAGCAGCGGACGGGUGAGUAACACGUGGGUAACCUGCCCAUAAGACUGGGAUAACUCCGGGAAACCGGGGCAAAUACCGGAUAACAUUUUGAACCGCAUGGUUCGAAAUUGAAAGGAGGCUUCGGCUGUCACUUAUGGAUGAACCCGCGUGGCAUUAGCUAGUUGGUGAGGUAACGGCUCACCAAGGCAACGAUGCGUAGCCGACCUGAGAGGGUGAUCGGCCACACUGGGACUGAGACACGGCCCAGACUCCUACGGGAGGCAGCAGUAGGGAAUCUUCCGCAAUGGACGAAAGUCUGACGGAGCAACGCCGCGUGAGUGAUGAAGGCUUUCGGGUCGUAAAACUCUGUUGUUAGGGAAGAACAAGUGCUAGUUGAAUAAGCUGGCACCUUGACGGUACCUAACCAGAAAGCCACGGCUAACUACGUGCCAGCCGCCGCAGUAA
RNAcentral lists this ribosomal RNA (515 nucleotides) under uncultured bacterium. RNAcentral's name for it is "partial 16S ribosomal RNA". It matches the Rfam family "Bacterial small subunit ribosomal RNA", at positions 28 to 523 of the family's 1533-position model. The record is from RNAcentral.